This 48-nucleotide non-coding RNA is filed under the name Plesiomonas shigelloides. RNAcentral's name for it is "Guanidine-II sequence". It matches the Rfam family "Guanidine-II riboswitch aptamer (mini-ykkC)". From Rfam's summary of the family: Simpler in structure and has fewer highly conserved nucleotide positions than the ykkC-yxkD leader. Despite this each of its two stem-loop structures directly bind free guanidine. RNAcentral also lists the same sequence under 1 other name. The record is from RNAcentral. Lineage: Bacteria; Pseudomonadati; Pseudomonadota; Gammaproteobacteria; Enterobacterales; Enterobacteriaceae.
GUCCCGGGACGACCCGGUAUGACUGCCUUUAGUAUGGGGACGACCCCG